AAAAACAGUAAACAGACACUAAAUAGAAAAGGAAAUGUAUAACGGUGCCGUUUGGAACAUACAUUGAAUACACAACUCCUAAAAAUAAUAUCCCAAAACACGGAAUCCCACGGGAAACACAGGCUAUAAGAAGUAUUACGCUGCUCCAGUCACUAAAAUUUGUCUAAUACAAAGAGGGGAAUCAAAACAACAACUACUAACUAGGAAUGGAGUGAGAAGGAGACUUUGCGGAUCUGCAGAUGUACCAGAUGUAUACCUCAAGUCCCCAAUAAUUCUCACUGACAGCUACUGGCAAUAUGCCUGCUCAGAUGUACCUGGAUCUGCACAUGAAAAACAUGCACGGAAGAGGCAUGAUUACACCAAAACGGUGCUCAGCAAGUGCCAAGCCUAACCUCGGUUGGGUAGUGACAAGGAAGGUCGAGGCCUUACUGAGAUAAACAUAAAAAUAAAUAUGAAAUGAAUAGGCAGUAAGAGUACAGUAAAUCUUGAGUAUCUAUCAACAAUAAUAAGUAGAACGGAAAUAGACUACAAAUACAAUCUACGAAAUGCAAAAACAAUCAUUAGAGGCUAUUUAUUAUCGGGGAUCUCCUGGUAUCCGGAGGAUCUCCUUGUAUCCUCAUCAUAUAAACAAGGGAUCUCAAAGUAUCCCGAGGAUCUCCUGGUAUCCUCCAUUCAAUCACGAGGGAUCUCCAAGUAACCGGAGGAUCUCCUAGUAUCCUCCAGUACAUCAUGAGGGAUCUCCAAGUAUCCCGAGGAUCUCCUAGUAUCCUCCAAUUAAUCAAUCCUGUGCCGGGGAUCUCUUAGUAUCCCGCACUUCCAAAUCUUAGAACAAAAUACGAAUAGGGAAACCCCCGGGAUGCCGUCCCAUAGACCCAAUCGUAAACAUAUCAAAUAAAUCAAUAUUCUUAGUAUCUCGCGCUUCCAAAUCUUGGAACAAAAUACGAAUUGGGGAAGCUCCCGGGGUGCCGUCUCGUAGACCCAAUCGCAAACACAUCACAACAAAUCAAUAUUUAACAAAAAGAAGCUAAGUGCGGACAACAAGUAAAAUCUAGAGUCUAGCAUGCUUCACAAAAAGGCAGAUAUUGCAAUUUAGUCAAGUAGAGCAAAUAAGUUACGAGCAUGAUUUUCCCUAAACAGAAACAAGUGAAUUGCAUUAUUAACAGUUAGAUACGUGAAAAACACAGUCUAAAUAAGUGAAGUAAGGUGAAUUUUCAACAAUUAGCACAAGUACACGGCCGUCACCUCGCGCAAAAGGCAUUUAAACAACAAUAAAGAUAUCCUAAGGGGAGAAGUCCCCCUCAUAAAGUUAGACAAGUCACUUACCUCGAACCGGUAAAAAAAUUGCUAAGAAACAAUGCCCUUACCAUGAGGAUCCAACUCCGAGUGGCCCAAAUCUAUUCAAACCAAUUACAUAUUAUAAAUAACAUCGCAAGUAACUAAUUCCGCUAUUAAAAUUAAAGUUAAGGCACGAAAAUAGAUAAAUGGCCAAAAUAGCCCUCAGGGCAACGUCUCAAAAUCGAAUAAUUUUCACAUUUUUAGAAACCUCGUACUCUCCCGAUUCUAACCAUAUAAAAAUUUGCCAAAUCGAAGGUCAAAUGCCCCUUCAAAACUCAAUAGCUUAGUCAAAGAAGUUUUACCCAAAUUAUCCAAUUUUUUUAAUCCUAAAUCUGAAUUUAAAUGAUGGAUUUAACCACAAAAUGAUGGAAUAUAACCUAAAAGGAUCAAAGAAACAUUACUCAAUAAUUUCCUCUUCGAAACCCUCUCAAAAUCGCCUAUACCCGAGCUCAAACUUGAUUUUUCAAGCUUUGAAAUUAAGCCUAGGAUAAAACCCUUAACAUUACAGUGAUUUUCACUUUUGCGGAUCCAAAAAUGUUACCCAAUAAUUUCCUCUUCGAAACCCUCUCAAAAUCGCCUUUUCCCGAGCUCGAACUUGAUUUUUCAAACUUUGAAAUUAAGUCUCGGAUAAAGCCCUUAACAUUACAGUGAUUUGCUCUUUUGCGGAUCCAGAAGCGGUCUCGCUUUUUCCGAAAAGCCAACUGCUUUUGCGGUUUUCCUUAAGUGCCGACCUACCGCUUCUACGGUCCAUAACUCGUAGAAGCGAGUCCGCUUCUGCGGAAAAUUAUACUGCUUCUGCGGUUCCUAGCCUUGAGCCCAAACCCGCAUUUGCGGCACCCUAUGUCAUUUCUGUGGCUCUGCUUCUGCGGUCCCCAAGCCGCAAAAGCAAAAAUACCAGAAUCCUGAAGCCUUUAGUUGUUACACACUUAGAAUUUCUUUCGUUAACCACCCAAAACCAUUCUGAGGCCCCGGGACUUCAACCAAAAGAACCAAUACCACCUAAUACCUUAUUCAAACUUGCACCAAUCUUUAAGACAACUAAAACAACACCGAAACCUCGAUCAAAUCAAAGAUUCAAGCCUAAGCACUUCAAGUUCAUCCAAAACUGCUUUCUAUUCAAAACCUAAUCAACACUCGCCCGAUUGAACUCAAACUUUGCACGCCCAUCCGAAAUUACAUGACGGUGCUUCAGAAACUUCUAGAAUCCUGUUCUGACCCUCAGAUUAAAAACUCACUGUCGGACCAGAAACUUAAAAACUUUAACUUUCGGCAUUUCUAGCCUAAAUGAGCUACAGACAUCCAAUAUACAUUCCGAACACGCUCCCAACUCCGAAAUCACCUAACUUAGCUAACGUAACCAUGCGAGUUCCAUUCCGAGGCCGUCUUCACAGUGUUCUGAUUACGAACCAUUUUCCAACAUUUAAGCUCUUAUUUAGGGACUAAGUGUCUCGAAACACUCCAAAUUCUAUUACCGAACGUCCCGACAAACCAAAAUCGCAGAAAUAUACUUAGGGUAAGCAUUUAAUGGUGGAACGGGGCAUAAAUUCCUAAGACGACCGGCCGGGUCGUCACAACACUCUUUUCUCUUGAUCUUGUGAGAGUCAACGCUCAGUCGCUGAUCGAUCCAUUCAGGACGAGGAAUGGAUGGAGAUAUUACAUCUAAACACCAAGAUUUUAUCUGCAAAGUUGCAAUACUUUUUCAUUCUCGUAAAUCUUUCUAGUCAUGCACUACAAAAGUUCUUUUUUCCCUCUAUAGCUUUCUUUUUUCAGACAUGGAGCAAAGGGAGGAAAUGUGGGAGAUAACAAACGUAACUUAAAACAAAACUUCCAUAAGGCUACAUAUAACAUAAGAUGCCACAUGUUUUUUCACCUAAUAUAUAAAUCUAACCUCUUUAAUAGAGUACAAGGACCAAAAAAUUCUGAUGAAGAAUAUAACAUCCAAAUAUAAAUUUUAGCUUACUAGGAGACCCUUAGUAUAUUAGAGAUAUAACUACUAGAGUAUAUGAGAGAACUCCAAGUAUUAGCUAAUCCUUAAGUACAAACUUUUGCAAUAUUAUGUACCCAAACAAAGCAUUUUUGAUAUUGAGGAUUUACAUAGCCGACCCCAACUAGCUUGGGAUUGAGGCAUAGUUGUCGUUAUUGUUAAUAGCAAUGUCAACGUAGCUUCACCUGUUGUUUUAUAAUCUUAAUUUUUCCUUGGCUAAAAUUAAGAUCUUUCAAACCCAAAUCUUCAUCUAUCUAAAGACAUUUUUGUCCAUCUCCACCUUACUCUAAAUAUGUUAUCCUUUCUGCUACUACCACUGAUUUUCAGCUUAUAGAGGAAAGACUUCUACAUUAGCCUUAUAUCCUUUUAUUAUUUUCAAUAUUUCCAUGAAUAAGCAAAAGAAUUAAGGAACAUAAUGAGAAAUUUUAAGUAAAGAGCAAGGACAUGGACUUGCAGCUCUUGAAAGGUUGAUUUCAUUACAUUCAUCCACUAAUCAAGAACAUAAAUAGUUAAAAUGCACUACAACCUCUUAUGCAUCACGCUCUAUCUAGGUCCAUUCAAUUCCAAGCAACUUCAAAUCUCAGCUAGAAUGAAGCAACAACAGAGUUCUGAACCUAAAUAAAGAGAGCAAGGUAAACCUUGUGUGUUAAGUUAGUGUUGCUUAACUCAAACACUCUUUUGCAAGUUGGUCCAAUAGCUUGCCUUUAUCAAAUGUGACUUCCUCUCUUUCCUCAAAAUUUAUUGUGUGAAUCAUUAUAUAUUUUGUUUACUCUCGAACUUUCUUCAUAUAUGAUGUGCCUAUAUUUACGUAACAACCAAGAAAUAAGAAAAAGAAUAUAAUAAAUACACAAAAUUGGAAGGUUUAAAACAUACCACCUGUAGCAGAAUCAACAUCCACAGCUUGUCUCUAACACGGUCAUCCUUGCCAACUUCUUCCUGUGCAGAAAUUGCCGGAAUGAUAUGUGAAAAUGUAGAAACACUAUGUAGAAUUGCAAAUAUUGCCAAAACACUAUGCAGAAAUGCAGAAAAAUUGUGUAGAAAUGAAAAAAAUAGCAAAAUGUUGAAAAAAUGCAAAAAAUACAGGAAAACCUGUACAGAAAUGCAAAAUAUAUAGUUUAGAAAUGCAAAAAUUUCUAAAAUGUAGAGAGAAAAUCAAGAAAUAAUAUGCAGAAAAUAUACUGUUCAAAAAAGCAGAAAUAAUGUGUAGAAAUGCCGAAAUACUAUGCAGAAAAUGUAAAAACACUAUGCAUAUUCACAAAAACAAUGAGCAGAAUCGCAGAAAUUGCCGGAACACUUCGCAAAAAUACAGAGAAUGCAGAAAAAUUGUGCAAAAAUGCAAUAACGCUGUGCAAAAUACAAAAACUACAAUUUAUGAGUUGACAUAUAGCAUAACAAUUAAAAGCAUAUAACGCAACUAGUUUUCAAGGAAGAAUAUCCCGAACUAACCUUCGCAAAGGAUAUAAAAUUGUAGGCCAGUUUGCAUGUUAUGAAAUCUUAGGUCACUUUGCACGUCAUAAAAUGUUAUGCCACUUCUCCGAACUAAGAUUAUUAUGCUAACACUUCUUUUUUUAAUUUCCUAAUUAACAACAACAACUACCCAGCAUAAUCCAACAAUGGGGGCUUAAUUUCAUAAUUGUAAAAAUAAUUUAAUCUUCAUAACAAAAGUUAAACCAGGAGCUGAAUUUAUUAGACUACCGGCGACCAACAGAACGUUAUGUGCUUCUUUGGAUCAUUAAAAACCUAAAAUAUGGCAGAGACUUGACUAAAUUAUGAUGAAUCAGAUUUUGCAACCCUACAACGCUGACCAAUGAUUGCUAAAAAGGCUAAACUGCCAGGCUAGAACUGUUAACUUACCUAUAAUAGCCAAGACACGAUUUAUAAAUAAAUGCUAGUGUAAGUACAUACCUGAAUCCGCUAUAAAAGAUAUUUUUUUUCCAAUAAAGAUGAUCUUAUCAAAAUGAGAUUUGAGCAUAUCCUCUUCCAUUGGCCCCUGCAAAUGCUAAAACAGCUGUCUAGCACUUCUCUGCAUGUGUUGAUUCAAACUGAUUUAGGAAAAGCUUUGAGCUCAAGGGAACAACAGAAAACCCCAUCCUAUGAUGCCAUUGAUGUGAAUUAAAAAAAUACCCAUGGAAUAAUCGGUUGAUUUAACACUUGAAAACCCUAAUACAAAGAACAAUCAAAGACACAAAGCCUAAUGAAGAGGACUUUUGGAAAAUCAAUCGAAGAUCACUAUCAACAAACAAUUCCAACAAACAAAUAGUACAAUUUUCAUAUUUUGGCAGUUUUGUUGAGUAUCAAUAACUCCAUUUAAUUUUCAAUAGAAACUAAUCAAAUAAGUUCUUAAUUAGGCUUAGACUUGAAGUCCAAUUCAAGAAAUAACGACACAUCAACAAAAUAUCCAGAAGAAUCAAAGGGGUUUAAGCAGUAGAUAAAUAUGUAAAGAAGUAAAAUAAUUUUAAUUAAGAAAUCAUACCUUUUGAAUGCUGAAAUUUCUCUUUCUUAGAUGUAGGUAUUGGAUCAAUGGAGAAGAAAAUUCCAGUCGGUGCUGGAUUUGGUAGCAGUGGAACCAGUGGCGUGGUGAUGGCCCAGAUGGAGAUUUAUGGGCCAAUACUAAAUAGAGGGGUAGAAUGAAAAUUUGAGAAAGUAUUAAUUUCUUUUGCCUUUGAAAGUAGGGAAAACUUUCACUCAAUCAAAUAAUGGAGGGAAUUUUUGGAUGAAUUUUUUAUUUUUAUUUUAGAGCACACUUGUUAA
Molecule: long non-coding RNA, 6070 nt
Filed under: Nicotiana benthamiana
Lineage: Eukaryota; Viridiplantae; Streptophyta; Magnoliopsida; Solanales; Solanaceae
Description: long non-coding RNA (NBEN_LNC020679)
Source: RNAcentral